RNAcentral lists this ribosomal RNA (511 nucleotides) under Parmelia squarrosa. RNAcentral's name for it is "eukaryotic LSU rRNA". The stretch from base 203 to 357 matches the Rfam family "5.8S ribosomal RNA". The record is from RNAcentral. Lineage: Eukaryota; Fungi; Ascomycota; Lecanoromycetes; Lecanorales; Parmeliaceae.
AUCGAGAGAGGGGCUUCGCGCUCCCGGGGGUUUCGGCCCCCAACUCUUCACCCAUUGUCAAUUUACCUUUGUUGCUUUGGCGAAUUCCGGGGUAGGUCUUGCGUAGGUUUGUCAUAAACCCGUGCGAGAUAUGCCCCGGCGCCCGCCGGAGGCCCAUUAAAAUCUGUUUAUCAGUGAUGUCCGAGUCAAUACCAAUAAUAAAAACUUUCAACAACGGAUCUCUUGGUUCCAGCAUCGAUGAAGAACGCAGCGAAAUGCGAUAAGUAAUGUGAAUUGCAGAAUUCAGUGAAUCAUCGAAUCUUUGAACGCACAUUGCGGCCCCCUGGUAUUCCGGGGGGCAUGCCUGUUCGAGCGUCAUUACACCCCUCAAGCAUAGCUUGGUAUUGGGCUCUCGCCCCCACGGCGUGCCGGAAAAGCAGUGGCGGUCCGGUGUGACUUUAAGCGUAGUAAAUUUCUCCCGCUUNAAAAGCUCGCCCCGUGGCCUNCNANANAACCCCAUGGACUUCNAUAA